CAAGUAAUUGGUCCCCUCAUACGAGUUCUUGGUUCUGGCAUACACAUCUUGCAGCAGAGAGCUGUCAAGGCUCUUGUUAGCAUUGCACUCACAUGGCCAAAUGAAAUUGCGAAAGAAGGAGGUGUGAAGGAGCUAUCCAAAGUGAUAUUGCAAGCUGACCCUUCUCUUCCUCAUGCCUUGUGGGAAUCUGCUGCUUCUGUAUUAGCUAGCAUUCUGCAAUUUAGUUCUGAAUUUUAUUUGGAAGUGCCUGUUGCUGUGUUGGUAAGGUUGCUUCGAUCUGGAUCAGAAAGUACAGUAAUUGGUGCACUAAAUGCCCUUUUGGUGUUAGAAAGUGAUGACGGAACUAGUGCCGAAGCAAUGGCUGAAAGUGGUGCCAUAGAAGCUCUUUUGGAACUUCUUAGAGGUCAUCAGUCUGAGGAAACAGCUGCAAGGCUUCUGGAAGUAUUACUCAACAAUGUGAAAAUCAGAGAAUCAAAAGCUACUAAAUCUGCAAUCUUGCCCUUAUCCCAGUACUUAUUGGAUCCACAAACUCAAGCCCAGCAGGCGAGGCUACUGGCAACUUUGGCACUUGGAGAUCUAUUCCAAAAUGAGGGCUUGGCUCGAAGUACUGAUGCAGUUUCAGCUUGUCGGGCUCUAGUCAAUGUGCUUGAAGAGCAGCCUACAGAAGAAAUGAA
Molecule: unclassified non-coding RNA, 674 nt
Filed under: Hevea brasiliensis (rubber tree)
Lineage: Eukaryota; Viridiplantae; Streptophyta; Magnoliopsida; Malpighiales; Euphorbiaceae
Source: RNAcentral